CCUACGGGAGGCACCAGUGGGGAAUAUUGGACAAUGGGCGAAAGCCUGAUCCAGCAAUGCCGCGUGUGUGAAGAAGGUCUUCGGGUUGUAAAGCUCUUUCACCGGUGAAGAUAAUGACGGUAACCGGAGAAGAAGCCCCGGCUAACUUCGUGCCAGCAGCCGCGGUAAUACGAAGGGGGCUAGCGUUGUUCGGAAUUACUGGGCGUAAAGCGCGCGUAGGCGGAUAGAUAAGUCAGAGGUGAAAUCCCGGGGCUCAACCCCGGAAUUGCCUUUGAUACUGUUUAUCUUGAGUGCAGAAGAGGUAAGUGGAAUUCCGAGUGUAGAGGUGAAAUUCGUAGAUAUUGGGGAGAACACCGGUGGCGAAGGCGGCAACCUGGCUCGAUACUGACGCUGAGGCGCGAAAGCGUGGGGAGCAAACAGGAUUAGAUACCCGAGUAGUC
This 440-nucleotide ribosomal RNA is filed under the name uncultured bacterium. Its description in RNAcentral is "bacterial SSU rRNA". It matches the Rfam family "Bacterial small subunit ribosomal RNA", at positions 338 to 795 of the family's 1533-position model. The record is from RNAcentral.